GACGAACGCUGGCGGCGUGCUUAACACAUGCAAGUCGAACGGAAAGGCCCUGCUUUUGUGGGGUUCUCGAGUGGCGAGCGGGUGAGUAACACGUGAGUAACCUGCCCUUGACUUUGGGAUAACUUCAGGAAACUGGGGCUAAUACCGGCUAGGAGCUCCUGCUGCAUGGUGGGGGUUGGAAAGUUUCGGCGGUGGUGGAUGGACUCGCGGCUUAUCAGCUUGUGGGUGGGGUAGUGGCUUACCAAGGCUUUGACGGGUAGCCGGCCUGAGAGGGUGACCAGCGACAAUGGGACUGAGAGACGGCGCAGACUCGUACAGGAGGCAGCAGUCGGGAAUAUUGUACAAUGGGCGGAAGCCUGAUGCAGAAGCGCUGCGUGUGUGAUGACGGCCUUCGGGUGGUAAACCGCAUUCGCCUGUGACGAAGCGGGAGUGACGGUAAUGGGUAAAGAAGCACCGGCUAACUACGUG
RNAcentral lists this ribosomal RNA (468 nucleotides) under uncultured bacterium. Its description in RNAcentral is "partial 16S ribosomal RNA". It matches the Rfam family "Bacterial small subunit ribosomal RNA", at positions 28 to 507 of the family's 1533-position model. The record is from RNAcentral.